AUUGAACGCUGGCGGCAGGCCUAACACAUGCAAGUCGAACGGUAACAGGAAGCAGCUUGCUGCUUCGCUGACGAGUGGCGGACGGGUGAGUAAUGUCUGGGAAACUGCCUGAUGGAGGGGGAUAACUACUGGAAACGGUAGCUAAUACCGCAUAACGUCGCAAGACCAAAGAGGGGGACCUUAGGGCCUCUUGCCAUCGGAUGUGCCCAGAUGGGAUUAGCUAGUAGGUGGGGUAACGGCUCACCUAGGCGACGAUCCCUAGCUGGUCCGAGAGGAUGACCAGCCACACUGGAACUGAGACACGGUCCAGACUCCUACGGGAGGCAGCAGUGGGGAAUAUUGCACAAUGGGCGCAAGCCUGAUGCAGCCAUGCCGCGUGUAUGAAGAAGGCCUUCGGGUUGUAAAGUACUUUCAGCGGGGAGGAAGGGAGUAAAGUUAAUACCUUUGCUCAUUGACGUUACCCGCAGAAGAAGCACCGGCUAACUCCGUG
This 490-nucleotide ribosomal RNA is filed under the name uncultured bacterium. RNAcentral describes it as "partial 16S ribosomal RNA". It matches the Rfam family "Bacterial small subunit ribosomal RNA", at positions 30 to 507 of the family's 1533-position model. The record is from RNAcentral.